RNAcentral lists this ribosomal RNA (274 nucleotides) under uncultured bacterium. RNAcentral describes it as "partial 16S ribosomal RNA". It matches the Rfam family "Bacterial small subunit ribosomal RNA", at positions 523 to 796 of the family's 1533-position model. The record is from RNAcentral.
AUACGGAGGGUCCGAGCGUUAUCCGGAUUUAUUGGGUUUAAAGGGUCCGUAGGCGGGAAAUUAAGUCAGUGGUGAAAGCCUACAGCUCAACUGUAGAACUGCCAUUGAAACUGAUUUUCUUGAAUAUAGAUGAAGUAGGCGGAAUAUAUCAUGUAGCGGUGAAAUGCAUAGAUAUGACAUAGAACACCGAUUGCGAAGGCAGCUUACUAAACUAUUAUUGACGCUGAGGGACGAAAGUGUGGGGAGCGAACAGGAUUAGAUACCCGAGUAGUCC